This 117-nucleotide non-coding RNA is filed under the name Pan paniscus (pygmy chimpanzee). The record is from Rfam by way of RNAcentral. Lineage: Eukaryota; Metazoa; Chordata; Mammalia; Primates; Hominidae. RNAcentral also lists the same sequence under 1 other name.
GCCAGGCGUGGUGGCUCAUGCCUGUAAUCCCAGCACUUUGGGAGGCUGAGGUGGGUGGAUCACCUGAGGUCAGGAGUUUGAGACCAGCCUGGCCAACAUGGUGAAACCCCAUCUCUA